This 253-nucleotide ribosomal RNA is filed under the name uncultured bacterium. RNAcentral's name for it is "partial 16S ribosomal RNA". It matches the Rfam family "Bacterial small subunit ribosomal RNA", at positions 524 to 776 of the family's 1533-position model. The record is from RNAcentral.
UACAGAGGGGGCAAGCGUUGUUCGGAAUUACUGGGCGUAAAGGGCGCGUAGGCGGCCCGCUAAGUCGAACGUGAAAUCCCCGAGCUCAACUCGGGAACUGCGUCCGAUACUGGUGGGCUUGAAUCCGGGAGAGGGAUGCGGAAUUCCAGGUGUAGCGGUGAAAUGCGUAGAUAUCUGGAGGAACACCGGUGGCGAAGGCGGCAUCCUGGACCGGCAUUGACGCUGAGGCGCUAAAGCUAGGGGAGCAAACGGG